UCCGUAGGCGGUGCGGCAAGUCGGGAGUGAAAUCUCUGGGCUUAACUCAGGGGCUGCUUCCGAAACUGCCGUGCUGGAGUGUGGGAGAGGCGAGUGGAAUUGCAGGUGUAGCGGUGAAAUGCGUAGAUAUCUGCAGGAACACCCGUGGCGAAGGCGGCUCGCUGGACCACAACUGACGCUGAGGGACGAAAGCUAGGGGAGCAAACAGGAUUAGAUACCCUGGUAGUCCUAGCCCUAAACGAUCAGGACUUGGCGUGGCCCGCGUACGCGGGUCGUGCCGAAGCUAACGCGAUAAGUCCUGCGCCUGGGGAGUACGGUCGCAAGACUGA
This 329-nucleotide ribosomal RNA is filed under the name uncultured bacterium. Its description in RNAcentral is "bacterial SSU rRNA". It matches the Rfam family "Bacterial small subunit ribosomal RNA", at positions 568 to 897 of the family's 1533-position model. The record is from RNAcentral.